UACUAAUCAUAUCCAAGAAAAUCAACAGAAAGGCAAUGCAAAAAGCAUAGCAUUCACAAGACAUUUACAAACUGUAACCCAUUUGGGAGAUUCAGUCGUGCUUCUGAUUUUUAUAAUUCUCAAAUUCUUCCUACAGAUUCUAUUUCCAGUUAUGGAUGCAAUACAAAGCAAGUCUUAACUUUGGUUUUGGAAUUUUAUUUUCGGGUUUUUAUUGGUUCAUUUGGCAAUUCAUAGGACAACUUUGUUCUUAUCAAAUAGAACUUAAUCUUGACAUUUGCUCAGCUUGUUUCCCAGGGUGGUUGUUUUCCAUCUUGUAUUGACUACAUGGACUAAGAAUGAUCAUGGGCAAAGGGGUUACCUUGAA
This 364-nucleotide unclassified non-coding RNA is filed under the name Hevea brasiliensis (rubber tree). Lineage: Eukaryota; Viridiplantae; Streptophyta; Magnoliopsida; Malpighiales; Euphorbiaceae. The record is from RNAcentral.